This 301-nucleotide ribosomal RNA is filed under the name uncultured bacterium. RNAcentral's name for it is "partial 16S ribosomal RNA". It matches the Rfam family "Bacterial small subunit ribosomal RNA", at positions 509 to 807 of the family's 1533-position model. The record is from RNAcentral.
CAGUCGCCGCGGUAAUACGGAGGGGGCUAGCGUUGUUCGGAAUUACUGGGCGUAAAGCGCACGUAGGCGGCUUUGUAAGUCAGAGGUGAAAGCCCGGGGCUCAACCCCGGAAUUGCCUUUGAGACUGCAUCGCUUGAAUCCAGGAGAGGUGAGUGGAAUUCCGAGUGUAGAGGUGAAAUUCGUAGAUAUUCGGAAGAACACCAGUGGCGAAGGCGGCUCACUGGACUGGUAUUGACGCUGAGGUGCGAAAGCGUGGGGAGCAAACAGGAUUAGAUACCCCCGUAGUCCCUGUCUCUUAUAC